Non-coding RNA from Macaca mulatta (Rhesus monkey), 1323 nucleotides. NCBI's taxonomy places the organism in Eukaryota, Metazoa, Chordata, Mammalia, Primates, Cercopithecidae. The record is from RefSeq and is a predicted model, not a curated record.
GUUCCACUAUGGGCUUAGGCUUUUGGAAACAAAGUCCAGAAGACUACACAUUGCUUCUGCUCUCCACCUGACAUACAUCUCUCCGGGGCAGCAAGGGAGUGCAGGCUACCUGCUUGAAUUGGAGGAAUGAAAAGGGAAGAUACAAAAAGAAACAAAACAAUAUCUGAAAAUAUGCAGCCGUAAAGCAAGUCACAUGGCUGCCUAAGUAGACCACAUUCCCCAGUCUCCCCUGUAGCGGGUGUAAUCAUAUGACUAAGUUAUUGCCAAUGGAACCAAACUGGAAGUGAUAUGUGCCACUUCUGAGCCCACGUUUCAUAAAAAAGCCAAGCAGUUCACACACCAUGACCUGCAGGAAUCCUUCCUUGAACUUCUGCCCUCAAAAUUAGCUAAGUUAGGACUCUUCUCUACUAUGAUCCUCCCUGGAUCUUUCUUCAAGACUCUAAGAAGAGACUAGGAAACAAAACUCUCGUUAAGAAAAGAAUAAAAUAUCCAGACCUUAUUUCCGUAAAUGGCUUAACCAGAAUUCCCUUUCUUCUUCAACGCAAGAGGGUUCUUCUAAAACAGCUUUCACUGAACAGUGAACACUGUUGCUGUGUUGCAAAGAUGAAAGCAAGAUUCCAUGUGUGAAGCCCAAAUUGAAAUCACAGAAGGCAGGAUUCACACUGCUAAUUGUUGCUUAGCAAUAAAAUGUGCAAAACCUGCUAAUGGAACAGUGACACCAGGCACCAGAGGCAUCUGUAUCCACACUGGCAGUAAAUUAGGGAAUUAGAAACCCUACAGUAACAGCAAGAAAAGGAAUGCCAUCCCUUAGGAACCCAGGGAGGGUUUCUGCACUCGUUCCUGCUUACUGCUCAGUUGAAAAGAAAGUCUCUUCAUUCACUAGAUACUGCUAUUGUGACGCUUGAAGACUGCAAGGAAAUAGAUGCUCGGAGGUUCAGAUUAUUCUAAAAAGUGUCCCUGAUGGAUUUACACGUGCCUGCAAAAAAAUCGUAUUUUUUUCCCCUGUUGAAAAGAUUUGCAGUAAAGAUAGAUCUUCAAAUCCCAGCCUGUACAUUUGCUAAUGGAGCAGAGUGGGAUAGGAAGCUCUGUCACUGCCACCUCAUCACAAGUGUUCUGUGGGUAGUAGUCAUGCCUCCAGCAUAAAGACUGUGUGUCAGAAACCAAAACAAACAAAGAGCCCACAGUGUAGGAAUAAACUAGCAGUGGGUCUUAACCUGAAAAAUGACUCCAGCCUUUUCUGGUUGUGCUCUGCUUUGGUUUUGUUCUACCUUCAUUUGCUCCUGCGAGGGUUUCCAAGAUAAAAUGUUCCAAGUUGUCUGAAAA